This is a long non-coding RNA of Onthophagus taurus, 283 nucleotides long. RefSeq lists it as uncharacterized. Lineage: Eukaryota; Metazoa; Arthropoda; Insecta; Coleoptera; Scarabaeidae. The record is from RefSeq and is a predicted model, not a curated record.
AACGCGGUACCAAUGUUAUGGAUAAUCCUAAUAUAAAUGAAUGCAAAAUCUCAUUAGAUACUGUUUUAAACAUUUACAAAAUCAUACGGAAUGAAAUGGAGAAAGCUGUUCAAUGUAGAGCAAGUAAUGAUUGAUAAAAACAUAUGUAUUGAACGAUUCACUCGAAUUGUAUUAAAUAUUGUAUAAGAUAUGGUAUAUUAAUAAAAAAAAAUUAAUAUGAGUGGUUGAAUUAAGUAUGUAGUAUGAUGACAAAUAAAUAAAAAAUACGACUUUAUAUAGAGAA